This 297-nucleotide ribosomal RNA is filed under the name uncultured bacterium. RNAcentral's name for it is "partial 16S ribosomal RNA". It matches the Rfam family "Bacterial small subunit ribosomal RNA", at positions 28 to 334 of the family's 1533-position model. The record is from RNAcentral.
GAUGAACGCUGACAGAAUGCUUAACACAUGCAAGUCUACUUGAUCCUUCGGGUGAUGGUGGCGGACGGGUGAGUAACGCGUAAAGAACUUGCCCUGCAGUCUGGGACAACAUUUGGAAACGAAUGCUAAUACCGGAUAUUAUGUGAGUUUCGCAUGAAAUUCAUAUGAAAGCUAUAUGCGCUGCAGGAGAGCUUUGCGUCCUAUUAGCUAGUUGGUGAGGUAACGGCUCACCAAGGCGAUGAUAGGUAGCCGGCCUGAGAGGGUGAACGGCCACAUUGGGACUGAGACACGGCCCAG